RNAcentral lists this ribosomal RNA (252 nucleotides) under uncultured bacterium. RNAcentral's name for it is "partial 16S ribosomal RNA". It matches the Rfam family "Bacterial small subunit ribosomal RNA", at positions 524 to 776 of the family's 1533-position model. The record is from RNAcentral.
UACGUAGGGGGCAAGCGUUGUCCGGAAUUAUUGGGCGUAAAGCGCGCGCAGGCGGUUGGUGAAGUCUGAUGUAUAAACCUGAGGCUCAACCUUGGGACGCAUUGGAAACUGAUUGACUAGAGUGUAGGAGAGGAAAGUGGAAUUCCACGUGUAGCGGUGAAAUGCGUAGAUAUGUGGAGGAACACCAGUGGCGAAGGCGGCUCUCUGGGCCUUACCUGACGCUGAGGAGCGAAAGCGUGGGUAGCGAACAGG